RNAcentral lists this ribosomal RNA (497 nucleotides) under uncultured bacterium. Its description in RNAcentral is "partial 16S ribosomal RNA". It matches the Rfam family "Bacterial small subunit ribosomal RNA", at positions 28 to 507 of the family's 1533-position model. The record is from RNAcentral.
GAUGAACGCUGGCGGCGUGCCUAAUACAUGCAAGUCGAGCGAACAGACGAGGAGCUUGCUCCUCUGACGUUAGCGGCGGACGGGUGAGUAACACGUGGAUAACCUACCUAUAAGACUGGGAUAACUUCGUGAAACCGGAGCUAAUACCGGAUAAUAUAUUGAACCGCAUGGUUCAAUAGUGAAAGACGGUUUUGCUGUCACUUUUAGAUGGAUCCGCGCCGCAUUAGCUAGUUGGUAAGGUAACGGCUUACCAAGGCAACGAUGCGUAGCCGACCUGAGAGGGUGAUCGGCCACACUGGAACUGAGACACGGUCCAGACUCCUACGGGAGGCAGCAGUAGGGAAUCUUCCGCAAUGGGCGAAAGCCUGACGGAGCAACGCCGCGUGAGUGAUGAAGGUCUUCGGAUCGUAAAACUCUGUUAUUAGGGAAGAACAAAUGUGUAAGUAACUAUGCACGUCUUGACGGUACCUAAUCAGAAAGCCACGGCUAACUACGUG